GUGGGGAAUCUUGCGCAAUGGGCGAAAGCCUGACGCAGCCAUGCCGCGUGAAUGAUGAAGGUCUUAGGAUUGUAAAAUUCUUUCACCGGGGACGAUAAUGACGGUACCCGGAGAAGAAGCUCCGGCUAACUUCGUGCCAGCAGCCGCGGUAAUACGAAGGGGGCUAGCGUUGCUCGGAAUUACUGGGCGUAAAGGGCGCGUAGGCGGACAGCUUAGUCAGAGGUGAAAGCCCAGGGCUCAACCUUGGAAUUGCCUUUGAUACUGGCUGUCUUGAGUUUGGGAGAGGUGAGUGGAACUCCGAGUGUAGAGGUGAAAUUCGUAGAUAUUCGGAAGAACACCAGUGGCGAAGGCGACACACUGGCUCAUUACUGACGCUGAGGCGCGAAAGCGUGGGGAGCAAACAGGAUUAGAAACCCUGGUAGUCC
This 425-nucleotide ribosomal RNA is filed under the name uncultured bacterium. RNAcentral's name for it is "partial 16S ribosomal RNA". It matches the Rfam family "Bacterial small subunit ribosomal RNA", at positions 354 to 796 of the family's 1533-position model. The record is from RNAcentral.